Molecule: non-coding RNA, 31 nt
Filed under: Mus musculus (house mouse)
Lineage: Eukaryota; Metazoa; Chordata; Mammalia; Rodentia; Muridae
Source: RNAcentral
UGUAAAAGGAAAGCCCUGAUAUUCCCACUCU